RNAcentral lists this ribosomal RNA (492 nucleotides) under uncultured bacterium. RNAcentral's name for it is "partial 16S ribosomal RNA". It matches the Rfam family "Bacterial small subunit ribosomal RNA", at positions 29 to 507 of the family's 1533-position model. The record is from RNAcentral.
AGUGAACGCUGGCGGUAUGCCUAACACAUGCAAGUCGAACGGCAGCACAGUAAGAGCUUGCUCUUACGGGUGGCGAGUGGCGUACGGGUGAGGUAUACAUCGGAAUCUACUCUUUCGUGGGGGAUAACGUAGGGAAACUUACUCUAAUACCGCAUACGACCUACGUGUGAAAGCAGGGGAGCUUCUUACCUUGCGCGAUUGAAUGAGCCGAUUUCGGAUUAGCUAGGUGGCGGGGUAAAGGCCCACCAAGGCGACGAUCCGUAGAUGGUGUGAGUGGAUGGUAGGCGGCACUGGAGGUGAGACACGGACCAGACGCCUGAGAGAGGGAGCAGUCGGGAAUAUUAGGCAAUGGGGGGGAGCCUGAUACAGCCAUACCGCGUCGGUGAAGAAGGCCUUCGGGUUGUGAAGACCUUUUGUUGGGAGAGAAAAGCAGCAGGUUAAUACCAAGCUGUACUGACGGUACCCAAAGAAUAAGCACCGGCUAACUUCGUG